GACGAACGCUGGCGGCGUGCUUAACACAUGCAAGUCGAACGGUAAGGCCCUUCUUGGUACACGAGUGGCGAACGGAUGAGUAACACGCGGGUAAUCUGCCCUCCACAUCCGGAUAAGCCUGGGUAACUGAGUCUAAUACCUACUAGGACCACAGGACCCAUAUCCUGUGGUGGAGAGCUUUUGCGUUGUGUGAUGGGUCAGCGGACUACCAGCCUGUUGGUGUGGUGAUGGCUGACCAAGGCGACGACGGGUAGCCGGCCUGGGAGGGUGUCCGGCCACACUGGGACUGAGAUACGGCCCAGACUGCUACGGGAGGCAGGAGUGGGGGAUAUUGCGCAAUUGGCGCAAGGCUGAUGCAGCGACGCCACGUGGGGGAUGACGGCCUUCGGGUUGUACACCUCUUUCACCACCGACGGAGGUCCGGGUGUUCUCGGGGUGACGGUAGGUGGAGAAGAAGCACCGGCUAACUACGUG
This 474-nucleotide ribosomal RNA is filed under the name uncultured bacterium. RNAcentral's name for it is "partial 16S ribosomal RNA". It matches the Rfam family "Bacterial small subunit ribosomal RNA", at positions 28 to 507 of the family's 1533-position model. The record is from RNAcentral.